CCAGAGGGCCGGGCGGCCGCGUCAUCCAGCGAUGGAUGCCGAGGAAAGUCCGGGCUCCACGAAACGACGGUGGCGGGUAACGCCCGCCGGCCACGCGCCUUCGGACGCGGGGUUAGGGAAAGUGCCACAGAGAGCAGACGGCCUGGCUUCGGCCCGGUCACGGUGAAAGGGUGCGGCAAGAGCGCACCGCGCGCGCCGGUAACGGCCGCGGCAUGGCAAACCCCACCGGGAGCAAGACCGAAUAGGGGCGGCAAGGAGCCUUUGGCUCCGGGGCGUGUUUCCGCCUGUCGCCCGGGUUGGUCGCUAGAGACGGCGUGCGAGCGUCGUCCGAGAGGAAUGGUCGCCCAUCCGGCAGCGAUGCCGGUGGACAGAACCCGGCUUACAGGCCCUCUGGCAAA
RNAcentral lists this RNase P RNA (398 nucleotides) under Sphingomonas jinjuensis. RNAcentral's name for it is "Sphingomonas sp. YC6723 Bacterial RNase P class A". It matches the Rfam family "Bacterial RNase P class A". From Rfam's summary of the family: Ribonuclease P (RNase P) is a ubiquitous endoribonuclease, found in archaea, bacteria and eukarya as well as chloroplasts and mitochondria. Its best characterised activity is the generation of mature 5'-ends of tRNAs by cleaving the 5'-leader elements of precursor-tRNAs. Lineage: Bacteria; Pseudomonadati; Pseudomonadota; Alphaproteobacteria; Sphingomonadales; Sphingomonadaceae. The record is from Rfam by way of RNAcentral.